GGCAUUGGCGGCAGCUACACAUGCAGUCGAGCGGAUGACGGGAGCUUGCUCCUUGAUUCAGCGGCGGACGGGUGAGUAAUGCCUAGGAAUCUGCCUGGUAGUGGGGGACAACGUUUCGAAAGGAACGCUAAUACCGCAUACGUCCUACGGGAGAAAGCAGGGGACCUUCGGGCCUUGCGCUAUCAGAUGAGCCUAGGUCGGAUUAGCUAGUUGGUGAGGUAAUGGCUCACCAAGGCGACGAUCCGUAACUGGUCUGAGAGGAUGAUCAGUCACACUGGAACUGAGACACGGUCCAGACUCCUACGGGAGGCAGCAGUGGGGAAUAUUGGACAAUGGGCGAAAGCCUGAUCCAGCCAUGCCGCGUGUGUGAAGAAGGUCUUCGGAUUGUAAAGCACUUUAAGUUGGGAGGAAGGGCAGUAAGCUAAUACCUUGCUGUUUUGACGUUACCGACAGAAUAAGCACCGGCUAACUCUGUGCCAGCAGCCGCGGUAAUACAGAGGGUGCAAGCGUUAAUCGGAAUUACUGGGCGUAAAGCGCGCGUAGGUGGUUCGUUAAGUUGGAUGUGAAAGCCCCGGGCUCAACCUGGGAACUGCAUCCAAAACUGGCGAGCUAGAGUACGGUAGAGGGUGGUGGAAUUUCCUGUGUAGCGGUGAAAUGCGUAGAUAUAUGAAGGAACACCAGUGGCGAAGGCGAGCACCUG
RNAcentral lists this ribosomal RNA (700 nucleotides) under Pseudomonas monteilii. RNAcentral's name for it is "bacterial SSU rRNA". It matches the Rfam family "Bacterial small subunit ribosomal RNA", at positions 32 to 731 of the family's 1533-position model. Lineage: Bacteria; Pseudomonadati; Pseudomonadota; Gammaproteobacteria; Pseudomonadales; Pseudomonadaceae. The record is from RNAcentral.